Phrynosoma platyrhinos (Desert horned lizard) is the source of this 72-nucleotide non-coding RNA. NCBI's taxonomy places the organism in Eukaryota, Metazoa, Chordata, Lepidosauria, Squamata, Phrynosomatidae. The record is from the annotation of a GenBank genome assembly.
GGCAAUAUGGCAAAGUGGUUUGAGUUUUGGACUACAAUUCUGGAGACCAGGGUUCAAAUCCCUCCUUGGCCC